This 6445-nucleotide long non-coding RNA is filed under the name Malus domestica (apple). RNAcentral's name for it is "long non-coding RNA (MDOM_LNC008838)". Lineage: Eukaryota; Viridiplantae; Streptophyta; Magnoliopsida; Rosales; Rosaceae. The record is from RNAcentral.
GCACCUUCUUCUUCCUUGGGUCGCCGGACUGGUUUUUCCGGCGGCCGUUUUCCGGGCAGUUUUUCAAAUUGCCAUAACUUUGUCAUUUCUCAACGAAAUCAAGUGAUUCAAAAACGAAAGUUGUAGCCCUUGAAGAUACAAAGAGAAUGGUACCUUGCACAACACCUAAUUCGCCGUGGUUUGGCCGGCAACUGCCUCGAAAGCCUCGGAGGUCGCCGGAAACUGGGUAUUUUUCAAAUGAGUAUAACUUCUUCAAUACUCAACGAAAUUGAGUGAAACAAAAAGGAAAGUUGUAGUACUUGACGAGACGAAGAGAUUGAUACCUACCUCGACUCCUAACUCUCCGGGGAUUCGCCGGAAAACGCCUCGAAAGCUCCGGCCAAACUUUGAACUUGUCGAUCUCCGUGUUCUUACGUCCAAAAACUUCCAACGAAGCACUCCGAGCUUCCUUGGGACCUUACUAAACUCGCUGUUAUCUUGUUUUAGCCUAAAACGUAACCAAUUCAAAGCUCAUGAACAGUGUCAUCUCACGGCAACUUUAGAACUAGGGUUUUCGAAGUGAAACUCACCUGAAAUUGGUGUCUACGUGAUCGUGGAAGUUCCAGGAGUCCAAAUGUGGUCUUAUCUUGGACGUUUGUUUAUGUUUUAGGUGGUUUUGGGUGAGGUUGAGCGUCGGAGAGGAAGAGAGAGGACUGAGAGUGAGAGAGAGUCGUGAGGGAAGAGAGAUAGAGAGACAAGGUACGGGAAUUGGGGAAGGUUUUGAGGGAUGUGGGGAUCCCACGUGUCCAACUCAAUCCAAAUUGUUAAAUUUUCGCCCCUUAGUCCCGUUUAAGGGCAUUUUCGUCUUUUCAUGUCCUCGAAAUUAAAAUUCCGGGACGGGCUGUGACAAUCUUCCCUCCUUAUAGAAUUUCGUCCCCGAAAUUCCAGCAACCAACUAAAUCAACCAUACUCCAACAAUAGCUUCGGGUAAAUCUUUCUCAUCCGAUUCUCUUUCUCCCACAUACUUUUUCUACUGAAUGAUUUCCUUCACAAAGCUUUUACUACUUACUCUGUCUUAAUUCUUAGGACCUUCUUUUUCAAUCCAAUCCAAAGUCGACAUUUAGUUCCUCACCAAUCAGAUCCGGCUUAAUUCUCAAUAGUUGCACCAAAGUCCCAUGUAACGACUCUGCCACUUAGUGACAACGCAUCGAACACAAAAUACAUUAUGUGCCUUAGCCAAUUCUGAAGGCAUCACAAACUUGUAUGGAACUUUAUUGAUUCCUUUAGUGAAAAAAAAAAAAAAAAUGGUCUGAUGUGUCUAAAUCUUAUCUUGUCUCUUUCCAAUUCUCGUCAUUUCUGUUCGCGGUGAAUUUUCCAAAAAUAUCAAAACCAUUUACCUUACACACUCGAUUAGUGGCAUAUCCAUCUGUUGAUCUCUUUUGCCAUUCCUGGUUACUUCAGGUUAACUUAAUCACCUGAAUACUUUGAGGAAACUCAUCCAUAGUCUCAGGGUCUAUUAAAACUCUUUCUUGAUCGAAUCCUUCUCUACCCAGAAACAUUCCAUUCACAAGUCAUCAAAAACCGACUCACAUGACACAUUUCAUGAUCCUUAUGGCGUUACUUCGGAAACUGCACAACCAACAUACUUAAGAAACUCAACAGUUCCGUAAACUAAUUCUCUUUUCCAUAAAACAAAUAAGUAAUGUUGCACUGUCUGGGAAAGGUUGUUACUCAACACUGGAGUAAAUGUACUAACUUGUUACUUAACAAGUAUAACUUCUUCUCGAUCUUCCAUUCUUAAUUUUUCUUCCGUUGGUUUUCAAUCCACAAGAUGAUACUCUUGGCAAACGUGCCAGACAUUAAUCUUACUGUAGUCUUCUCACCAAGUGCUUGAGCUAGAACAAACUUUACGAUCACCCUGAUCGUACAAUCAUGUUCAUUAAGCAAUACAAUUCACUUUCGCUGCCUCAUAUCAAAAUCCUUCCAAGUAAUGGAUAUUGAAGACUUUUUGGAUUCGUAAAAAUCUUGCAUUCUUACCAAAUAUAAUGCCUUCAUAACUUCACAGCAAGAAUGGUAAUCAUGACUUCCAAGUCACCCGUAGGGUAAUUCAUCUUAUGAGAUUCCAUUUAUCGUGAAACGUAUGCAAUCACCCUAACAUUUGCAUCAACAUGCAUCCAAUACCAUUCAAGAAACAUCACUAAAAAUUUAUGAUUACCACUAUUCUCUGGGAAUACCAAAAUACGUGCAUGAGUGAGGAAAUACUUCAGUUGUUGAAUCCUUUGCUCACAAUUUCCUUCCCACUCAUACAUAACCUCUUUUCUCAACAGUUCUCGUCAAUGACAAAGCAAUGACUGAAAAAUCUUUCACAACCAUCCAAGAUAGCCUGGUAAGCUAAGAAAUUCCGAAUCUCAAUUACAGUUCGUGGUUGUUCCAAUUCCUCAAUUUCUGCUAUCUUUUAAGGAUUCACUUGAAUACCUUAAGAAUAUAUAACAAAUCUCAGAAUGCCACCUGAUUCAUCUAACUUUAGCAUUUGCUACUUAGCAUACAACCGACAUUCUUCCAAUCUUUGUUCCACCGACUUAAUACAUUUACAUGCUCUGCUCUGGCUCAGAAUAUGCCAGAAUAUCUUCAAUGAAAAUGAUAUCUAUUUAUCAAGGCAUUAUUGGAAUACUUCAUCCAAUAACUCAUAAAACAGCAUGAGUAUCCAUAUAGCAUCACCAUAGUUCAUAAAACCAAUCUUAAGAACAACGUCGCUCAUAAUCUUUUAAUUGGUAAUAACCAGACCUCAAUUCAAUCUUUGAAUCUUCGCAAUUACUUCUGAGCUGGUUAAAUAAACAUCAGUACAUCACCAUGGAUAACGGUUCUCAAUCGUUACCCGACUCCAUUGUCUAUAAUCAAUGAACAGUCUCAAGAUCCAUUUUCUUCCUCACCAACAAACUGGGGCUCCUCAAAAGUGUUGUACUAGGUUGAAUGAAACUUUUAUCAACCAAUUCUUUCAACUGAAUUUCCAAUUCCCUUAACUCAUCCUGAACCAAUCUCCAAUAUAAAUUUAUACCUGGCAACAAAUCAAUAAUGAACCUCAUAUCUCUGCCUGAAGGCAAUCCAGGUAUACUUUCAAGGAAGACAUCAAGAAAAGUCUAACUCUUUCGACAUUAUUCACACUACUCCAAACAACAUCAUUUAGCACCACAUGAGCUAAGUAUUUUUGACAGCCUUUCGAAAACAAUCUCUUUGCUCUCACAGCAUAAAUAACAGGCCUGACUCAAUCCAUUUUGCAUACUUACAAAAGUAAUCUCUGUUCAUCCAGAUCGAUGGAAAGUACUGGUUUUCCAUAACAUUUCGUCUUGUCACAAUUAUAACCAACCAAUCUAAUGGAACAGAAUUAACUGAUACAAUAUAUAUUCUAUUAUUAUUAAGCAUUCCAAAUAAGUACAAUACUAACAUAAAUAAUCUACCGGGUUGCUUGCUUAACGAAUCCACGAAUGAGUUAUUAAUAUUACGGUCUGCAGCCCGCAAUACUGAUAAAUCAUCGUUGUCUCGAUAAGUAGGCAACCACUCUCAAAGAUAUAACAUUACUAUUUUGUCACUCAAUGCAAAAUACAUACACUCAUCUCAACUACAUUUAUUUACUACUCUCAAGGUAAUAACAUACAUAAUAAGAAAUAUAUCAGCCGAAGUCAACUAGAAUGACCAAUACGGCUGAUUCAACUCUUAUCUCAAUAAUACGUCGGCCGGAUCCACUCCGCGGGUCGGUACGGCCGAGCCUAUAACUCACUAAUUUCUCAUGUGUCAAUCGAAUCCACUUCUCAUGGUCUGUACAGCUGAACAUAUAACUCAUCAAAUCUCUCUGUACUCACGGUCAAUCCGACCAAACUACUAAGUCCAUAACUCUGCUGAAUCGACACUAUGAUAUCAUGGAAAAUUAUUGAGUACAACUGAUUCUAGGGACGAUCACAAUUCUGUGUCCCUCUGUUCACAUAAACACAUUCAUUAAUUUCACAUUUCCCAAAGUGUUAAUUUUGUACCUGCUGCACAAGGUACAUUUCCUUUACUCGAGACACCUUGUCUCAAAUAUCUGGGAUUACCAGUAUAUCCAUCACUUUUACUCUGACCAGCGACAUUAAAACCUCAGCUGGAAGAAUUAACUCUACUUCACUUCUUUCGAAGCUCUGAAUCUUUCUAUAUCCUUGAUAUGACGAAUCAUUAACUUUAUCGUCAACUUCCUUGAUUCACAUUUGCAAACUCUUGCUUACUACCAUCGAUAAAUGCCGGAGGGAUAAACUUUUCCUUAAACAAGUCCUUAAAUAAUUCUCAAUCAGCUGUUUCCUCCGGUGACAACAAUCUAACAUCCUGUUUCCACCAGGAUACAAAUUCAUACCCAAAACCAGGUAGUCGUCUCGACCCCCUGUCAGAAGGAAGAUUCCUUUGACUUGCAUAAUCUGAAACAUCUUUUCCAAAUGGUUAAACCGUUACUUCGUUCCCUCAGGUUCAUCAUUUCUCUUAAGUGAUUCAAAUUCAACUCAUUACCAUCUUAAAAUGUCCAUUUUGAUAAUAUACUGAAUCACCAUAAUAAUAGUUUCCCCAAACCCGCUAAAUCAGGGAGACUAAGUUCCUCUAACUACAUGGUUUGCUACGAGGCGGUGUAGUUCUGACAGAAUUCACUAGAACUUCUCAAAAUGUCCAAAAAUUCCAACCAUGCUCUGAUACCAACUGACACACCCCGUCUCGAAGGAGGGCAUGCUGGCCGUCACGUGAGAGUGACGUAACCAUUUGCACAGUACGAAAGCUUUAAUUAUACAAUUUAUAAGUUGAUACACCCUAAGGUGAGUCCUAAUUUUGUCCAAUCUGUCAGAACCCCGCUGUAUUCCUCGUAGUCACCACACCUUUGUGAUUCCUGAACCUGGAGGGGCGCAAACCAAAAUUGAGUGGGUCAGUAAAACAAUUCUUUUCCAAAUCCAAACAUUUCUCAAAACGUUGUAACCCCUCUCCGUAAAACUGUAUACUUUCCCAGAAAUGUAAAAUAUAAAUAUACAUAUAUAUUCUCAAGACUUCAAGUCGUUAACUCAACAUUUUCAUAACAAUUAUGCCAUGCCACAUCAUCUCAACAUUUCUCAUAUUAAUUAUGCCAUGCCACAUCAUCUCAACAAUAAUAAGGUAUGAAUGCAUCAACAUAAUCAUAUCAGGUGCAAGAAAGUAAUCAACCGUAGGCCCUCUAAUAGCCCUGUACGGUUGAACCUAGAGCUCAAAAUCUAUCACUAUCACUCUACCGGAGUCACCUCUGUGACCUGUCCGGCCUUCUGCACACAAGUUACGCUCUAGUGCUUCUCAUAAAUCAUCUGUGCACAUAAUCUAAGGUCACCCACCAGUCGGAAUCUCACUAACACUCUCGCGACUGGCCUGUCGUACCCACUCCGCGUGGACUGUACGACUAGCAUUACUUGGAUCCAAGGCGAGCGUGCGAUGCGGUGAAUCUAUAAGCACUAACCAUGGUGCAGGAUUUGAGCUCAAUUAUAUAUCAUCAUCAUAAACAGUAUUAAAUACUCACCUGUGCGUCCCACCGCACCAUUUCAUACAUAUGCAUCAUAAAUCAUUCUUACCUGUGCGUUCCGCACCAAUUCUACAUAGCAUCAUUAUUAAUUCAUGCAUGGCAUUUCAACUCACAUUUCUAUUACUUUCAUAUCAAUUCUAUGCAUGGUAUUUCACUUCCCGUUUUUUCCACAUAACUCAUAUGCAUUCAUUUUAAACAUAUUUUCAUUUCCAUUCAAUUUCUGGGAAACGUUCAAGUAUAUAUAUAUAUACGGAAAACAAAACUGCCCACUCACCUGGAGUUUCGCCCUACAACUCCUAGCACAUACGCCAAGGUCAUGACGAUCGGCGCCUAAAACAUAAUCAAUUCCAUCAGAAUUCAUAUCGAUAGAAUAUAUAACUUAUAUAAAAUACUCAACGUAGAUUGAUCGGAAGAUCCACCCCUCAGAUUUUAAUCCAUAACUUCAGAGGUCACAUUAUACCUCUAGGACAUCAAAUUUCAUUACCAUCCAACGGUCGGAUCUCCGUCAAUUCACAUUUCACCUAAAUGUGAAAUUAUAAAACGUUAUUUGAACACCUAACCACAAUCCUCAUAACUUUCUCUUAUACGGUGUUCAAUUUAGGUAUAUGAAUAUACCAUAGUGAUCUACUCGACGUCACGGACGUCGACAUAUUUUUUAAAAUAAUUUUAUUUAUUUUUUUUUUCUGUGCACCUUCUUCUUCCUUGGGCGCCGGACUGGUUUUUCCGGCGGCCGUUCCGGCAGUUUUUUCAAAUUGCCAAACUUUGUCAUUCUCAACGAAAUCAAGUGAUUCAAAAAGAAAGUUGUAGCCCUUGAAGAUACAAGAGAAGUACCUUCCACACCUAAUUCGCCGUGGUUUGGCCGGCAACUGCCUCGAAAGCCUCGGAGGUCGCCGGAAACUGGGUAUUUUUCAAAUGAGU